RNAcentral lists this ribosomal RNA (253 nucleotides) under uncultured bacterium. RNAcentral's name for it is "partial 16S ribosomal RNA". It matches the Rfam family "Bacterial small subunit ribosomal RNA", at positions 524 to 776 of the family's 1533-position model. The record is from RNAcentral.
UACGUAGGGGGCAAGCGUUGUCCGGAAUCAUUGGGCGUAAAGAGCGCGUAGGCGGCCCAGUAAGUCCGCUCUGAAAGUCAGGGGCUCAACCCCUGGAUGCGGGUGGAUACUGCUGGGCUAGAGUCCGGAAGAGGUGAGUGGAAUUCCUGGUGUAGCGGUGAAAUGCGUAGAGAUGCGGAGGAACACCAGUGGCGAAGGCGGCUCUCUGGGACGGUACUGACGCUGAGACGCGAAAGCGUGGGGAGCGAACAGG